This 47-nucleotide non-coding RNA is filed under the name Schistosoma margrebowiei. Lineage: Eukaryota; Metazoa; Platyhelminthes; Trematoda; Strigeidida; Schistosomatidae. The record is from RNAcentral.
AUCCAGUUGACGAGUCUUAAGUAGGACGAAACGCAUGUGUGCUGGAU